This is a long non-coding RNA of Camelus ferus (Wild Bactrian camel), 142 nucleotides long. It matches the Rfam family "MEST intronic transcript 1, antisense RNA conserved region 1". Lineage: Eukaryota; Metazoa; Chordata; Mammalia; Artiodactyla; Camelidae. The record is from Rfam.
UGUCUGUGAAGUUUAUCUUAUCUGGUUAAUGGGUUAUUCAGCUCCCUUGCUUCUCUCCUCUCCCACUUUUCUUUUGAACUCUUUUUUCAGCCGAAGACUUUUACCCAAAAAUGAGCUUGAAGAGGAAGACACCAGUUGCUUU